RNAcentral lists this ribosomal RNA (230 nucleotides) under uncultured bacterium. RNAcentral describes it as "partial 16S ribosomal RNA". It matches the Rfam family "Bacterial small subunit ribosomal RNA", at positions 576 to 791 of the family's 1533-position model. The record is from RNAcentral.
UGGCUGCCCAAGUCCACCGUUCAAUACCAGGGCUCAACCCUGGGGCAGCGGUGGAAACUGGCUGGCUAGAGUGCGGUAGGGGCAGGGGGAAUUCCCGGUGUAGCGGUGAAAUGCGUAGAUCUCGGGAAGAACAACGAUGGCGAAGGCGCCCUGCUGGGCCGUGUUGCUUUGCAACAGACUGACACUGAGGGACGAGAGCUAGGGGAGCAAAUGGGAUUAGAUACCCUUGU